AUACGGAGGGUCCGAGCGUUAUCCGGAAUCACUGGGCGUAAAGAGUACGUAGGCGGUUUGGUAAGUCAGGUGUGAAAUCCCGAAGCUCAACUUCGGAACUGCAUCCGAUACUGCCAGACUAGAGUACUGGAGAGGCAGGUGGAAUUCUCGGUGUAGCAGUGAAAUGCGUGGAUAUCGAGAGGAAGACCAAUGGCGAAGGCAGCCUGCUGGACAUUUACUGACGCUGAGGUACGAAGGCUAGGGGAGCGAAAGGGAUUAGAAACCCCAGUAGUCC
RNAcentral lists this ribosomal RNA (274 nucleotides) under uncultured bacterium. RNAcentral describes it as "partial 16S ribosomal RNA". It matches the Rfam family "Bacterial small subunit ribosomal RNA", at positions 523 to 796 of the family's 1533-position model. The record is from RNAcentral.